GACGAACGCUGGCGGCGUGCUUAACACAUGCAAGUCGAACGAUGAAGCGGGUGCUUGCACUCGUGGAUUAGUGGCGAACGGGCGAGUAACACGUGAGUAACCUGUCCUUUUCUUUGGGAUAACGGCUGGAAACGGCUGCUAAUACUGGAUAUUCAGGCUGCAUCGCAUGGUGUGGUUUGGAAAGGUUUUUUCUGGGAUUGGGUGGGCUCGCGGCCUAUCAGCUUGUUGGUGGGGUGAUGGGUUACGAAGGCUUUGACGGGUAGCCGGCCUGGGAGGGUGGUCGGGCGCGGUGGGACUGAGAUACGGCCCAGACUCCUACGGGAGGCAGCAGGGGGGAAUAUGGCACAAUGGACGAAAGUUUGAUGCAGCGACUGCGCGUGGAGGGUGUAGGCCUUCGGGUUGUGAACUCCUUUUUCACGCGAAAAAGGCACAGUUUUGGCUGUGUUGAUGGUAGUGGGGGAAGAAGCGCCGGCUAACUACGUG
This 483-nucleotide ribosomal RNA is filed under the name uncultured bacterium. Its description in RNAcentral is "partial 16S ribosomal RNA". It matches the Rfam family "Bacterial small subunit ribosomal RNA", at positions 28 to 507 of the family's 1533-position model. The record is from RNAcentral.